GAUGAACGCUGGCGGCGUGCCUAAUACAUGCAAGUCGAGCGAGCAGAUGAGGAGCUUGCUCCUCUGACGUUAGCGGCGGACGGGUGAGUAACACGUGGAUAACCUACCUAUAAGACUGGGAUAACUUCGGGAAACCGGAGCUAAUACCGGAUAAUAUAUUGAACCGCAUGGUUCAAUAGUGAAAGACGGUUUUGCUGUCACUUAUAGAUGGAUCCGCGCCGCAUUAGCUAGUUGGUAAGGUAACGGCUUACCAAGGCAACGAUGCGUAGCCGACCUGAGAGGGUGAUCGGCCACACUGGAACUGAGACACGGUCCAGACUCCUACGGGAGGCAGCAGUAGGGAAUCUUCCGCAAUGGGCGAAAGCUUGACGGAGCAACGCCGCGUGAGUGAUGAAGGUCUUCGGAUCGUAAAACUCUGUUAUUAGGGAAGAACAAAUGUGUAAGUAACUAUGCACGUCUUGACGGUACCUAAUCAGAAAGCCACGGCUAACUACGUG
Molecule: ribosomal RNA, 497 nt
Filed under: uncultured bacterium
Lineage: Bacteria
Description: partial 16S ribosomal RNA
Rfam family: Bacterial small subunit ribosomal RNA
Source: RNAcentral